GCUGGUGGCAAGUAAAGCUACAAUGUAUAUCAACAUAAAAUCAGAAUAAAACAAUCACUUAGCACACAUACACAUGCAUAGCACUUUCCAUUUAUCUGAACACAUAUGGAAUUCAAAUGUACUAACCAACCCUGUACACACUAAUUUUUAACUUGGACUGAACCACAAAUUAGGGUUAUUUCAUUACUAAAUUUUACAAAGGUAGAGCAGGAGUUUUUAAAAUUCUAUUCUGGUGAUUCAGGAUUAUUUCAAUUUGUUUAACAUUAGGAAAAUGUA
This 276-nucleotide long non-coding RNA is filed under the name Mytilus galloprovincialis (Mediterranean mussel). The record is from RNAcentral. Lineage: Eukaryota; Metazoa; Mollusca; Bivalvia; Mytilida; Mytilidae.